UUGUACAUUCUGAUCGUGAGGAGGUUCUUCUGUGUUGAACGUUUCAACAGUUUCGAAAUUUUCAGGGAUAUCCUCAAGAUUUUCUUGAGGUGCUGGUAAUACAACUAUUGUAUCAUCCUGUCUUUGAUGCAUCUUAUUGAUUUGAGAUGUCUCUCUAGGAGAUAUUCCCCUUCCCAAUAGAUCAUCAACGACUCCCACUGAAUUCUUGUCCACACCAUUAGACAAGUUUUCAUUCUCUAUGUUAUUUUGUGGUUCUUGACAUUCCGGGAAACAAUCACCUUGUGAUAACUGGAAACGUAGAAAUAAUAUCCAAUUGUUUCCUUAGGAUAUCCCACAAAAUAUCAUUUCUCACUUUUAGAUUCCAACUUAUUAGUCAUCAUUUUCUUAACAUAAGCAGGACAGCCCCAGGUCGCAUAUGGUUAAGACUUGCCUUUUUGCCACACCAUAGCUCAUAUGGUGUUUUCUCAACUGAUUUAGAAGGAACUCUAUUUAGAAUAUAAAUAGCGGUCUGUAAGGCAUGGCCCCAAAGGAAUAAAGGGAGACUUGCAAAACUCAUCGUGGAUCGAACCAUAUCUAAUAAAGUUAGAUUCCUCCUUUCGGAUACCCCAUUCAUUUAAGGUGUUCCCGGAGGUGUCCAGUCUGACCGAAUUCCAUGUGAUUUUAAGUAAUCAAGAAACUCAAGGCUUAAGUAUUCUCCUCCUCGAUCCGAUCGAAGAGCCCUGAUACUUUUCCCAAGUUGCUUCUCGACUUCUAACUUAAACUCUUUAAAUUUCUCAAAGGCCUCAGAUUUGUGUUUCAUGAGAUACACGUAUCCAUACCUCGAAAAAUCAUCAGUAAAAGUUAUGAAGUACGAAUAUCCACCUCUUGCUUGUGUAGGGAACGGUCCACACACAUCUGUGUGAAUCAGUUCUAGCAAGUCUUUGGCUCGUAACCCCUUCCCAGAAAAAGGUUGGUUAGUCAUCUUUCCUUUGAGACAAGAUUCACAAGUACCAUAUGACUCAAGGUCAAAUGAUUUGAGAUAGUCUAACUUUCUCAAUCUUGCUAUCAUGUUCUCAUUGAUAUGACCAAGUCUACAAUGCCAAAGAUAAGUAGUAUUAUUCGUAUUACUUGACCUAGGUCGUUAUUUUUGCACAUUGAGAACACUUCUUUCACAUUCAAGAUAAUAUAAACCAUUCAAAAGAGAGGCACUUCCAUAAAACAAUCCAUUCAGUGAAAACGAGCAUCUACUGUUUCCAAAAUGGAAAAACCUUCAAUGUCUAACAUCAGAAUGGAAAUAAUAUUCUUAGAAAUAGAAGGAACGAAAAAACAAUUACUUAAAACUAGUCUAUUUCCCGAAGAAGAUCUAAUCUAUAAGUCCCCACGCUUCGGUAGCAACUUUGCUCCAUUUCCCACGCGUAGAUCGACUUCUCCGGGCCUCACUUUCUUUUUACUUAGCCCUGCACAUUAUUCAAAUGUGUGAGCCAGUGGCUGUAUCUACUCCGGAUUGUGAAUUGUUAAUAGACAUGUUUUCUUGAAAUAACAUACUGACUCAUGCGGAGCACGUGCCUUGUAUUUCGGGCAGUCUCUCUUCCAAUGCCUCUUUUCAUGACAGAACAGGCACUCUUCCUUUGGCAACUUCGACUUUUUAUGAGUUCCUCCACCUUUAGGCUUUAAACUAGCAUCAAAUGCUUUCUUCUGCUUUUUCUUCUGCUUGUUGUUCUUCUUGGAAGAUGUAGCAGUAGAGCACACCAUUCGCACAGAUUUUCCUUUAGAGGUGGUAGACUUGUAGGUCUUCAACAUGUUGUGAAGCUCAGCCAGAGUUGCCUUCAUGCCAUUCAUAUUAAAGUUUACAAUGAAGUUUGCAAAUGAGGCAGGCAAUGACUGCAUAAUCAGAUUGACAGAGACAGUAGGGGGUAGUAUCGUUCCAAUCGAUCACAACCUCUCAAUCAACCCGAUCAUCUUCAGUACAUGAUCAGAAACCUGACCCCCAUCAUGAAGCUUACACUUGAAGAGAUCCGAAGCAUACAAACUCUUCAAGUGUUUUAGCAUUUCAUGAGGGAACAUGUGUUCGUGUUGCCUCUGUAACUCCGUAUUCAUUGAAGUUAACAUUACACACUGAGUCGUAGUUGCAUCCUCAACAUGCUUCUUGUGAGCAGCUUCGUCAAACGAAGCAUACUCUGCAGAAUUCUUGUCGGGAAUCACAGAAAUUGGGUCGUCCAAGACGUACUCAAUCUUUUCUAGUCUUAAGACCAGACGCAAGCAACGGAGUCAAUUCGUGAAGUUUGACCCAAUCAACUUGUUAGUUUCCAUCAAACACUUUAGCGACAAAUUCGACAUAAUAUCUGAUCAAUAAAUAAAGAAAAGCAAAUUAGAAAGAGUAAACUAUGAUCACAUUGUAUCACCAAUCAAACAAUGGGCUAUCGUAUUUAUUAGCUCGCACUAAUUUUUUUGACAUAUUUUACGCCCCCAAUAUAAAAUACGGAUUUAUAAACUAUAUAAAUCUUAGUGGUCCGAGAUCUAAGUCAAUAUUAUGCAGCCUCUGCUUGGGCUGAUGACUGCAAUAAUACUCCCUCCGUCCGCCAAGAUUAUGUCACAAUUACUAUAUCGGGCGUCCGCCAAGAUUAUGUCACUUUCCUUUUAUGGCAAUGGUCCCACCAUCCUCUUUAAUAUUUUAUCCUUACUAACACUCUUUAUUUACAAAAAAACCACUUAAAAUUCAAUCUCAAUCACUCAUCUCAUAAAGUGGUGGGACCAUUUCUCCACUACAUCAAAAAUCAUCACCAAUUUUAUUAAAUCAUGUGCCCAAGCAAAUUGCCAUAAUCUUGGUGGACGGAGGUAGUAUCACUUAGUAGGCCUCUAAGCCAAUUACAACAACAAUUUUACAAUUCUCGGUUGAUUAAUCUAAUUAAUAUGCACAAAUGAUCAAGCAAGUCAACCCCAUCACACGGUGCCAACCUACGAAUGAGCCUUGGCCUUGUAGAUUAGAGCAAACACUUGGGUGUAAAUACUCUUGAUCGAAAAGGUUAGGUACUCAAACAAUUAUGAUGGACAACGCGUUUUGUGCUUACACAAAGACUUAUAUUUAAUGGGGAUUUAGCAUGUGAUACUAAUUGCUUAUAUUUAAUAUCCAAUAUUAAAUAGCAAAAUAAUUAUCGGGCGCCGCCUACCCAUGAAUAGCAAAGCGGACUACAUAUAUUGGGCGCCGCCUACCCAAAAAUAAAAGCGAUCUCUUACUACUAUAGUAAAAUAAUAAGCAUGAAAUCAAAUAGCAUGCUUAUCACAUAAAGGCACAAAAUCUCUACGAAUAAAAUCAUUAAUCAAAUUAAUAUUUUAUUCUCUAAUUAAAUAUGGGUUAAUCAAUUUAUAAAUUUAUUUCUAUUAUUAUAAAUUGAAAAUUAAUAAUAAUAAAUAAAUAAAUUUAUUAAUCUAAUUAAUAAAUUAAUUCUGAAAUUGGGAUAUUAAGUAUUAAUUCUAAAUUAAUAAAAGGUCUUUUUUUUAAUACAAUCUGUUUUAGCCCAAAAGGGCCAUUUAUUAAAAAAAAAUUGCAGGCCCAGCAGAAGUAACACAAGCCCAGCCCCAGGCCCAAGAAUUCACGGCCCAAAACCCAUUAAGGGUUUGGAUCUGCUUUUGCAGCAAGCAACAGCAGCCGUUGCUGCUUUCUUCUUCCGUCAGCCUGCCGCCGCCCCCUUUCCAGUCAGCCCGCCGUCGCCAGAGCCAUGCUGGAGGAUGGUUGCGACGUCCGGCUAAGGCACGCCUUCGCCGGUCAUCUCCAUCUCCAGCCGCCGACGAGACGGCUUCCAAGAACCGCGUCGGUGGGAGGCGUUAAGGGAGCAGCAGCAAAGGUCUCCUCGCCGCUGCACACAUCGACGUCGUCGCCGCCCCUCUAAGGGUCCGACUGUGCGAGUUCUUUUAGCAGCAGUCGCCUCCCGCGCCGGUGUCCAAAACCGCGCCGGAGGGACUGUUACAGAGAGGCAGCGGGCGUAGGCUCGGAGUCGCGAAGCGGUGCGACGCAAUCAGUAACAGAUGGUCGGUCGCAGCACAACGGCAAGCCCCGAUCCACCCGUCGCCUGCAUCAAAUUUUCGGACCCUUCAACAUAUUAGCCCCCGCCGCCCAGCAGCGAUCGGAGUGAUCCGACGUGAACGAUAGAUGCAGCAAGUUUUCGAAAUCGAAGUUUCAAAAUUAUGAAGAACACGUUGCCCAGAAUUGAAAAAUCCCAAUUCAAUUUCUCAAUUCCAAAUCACAAUAUCCAAAAUCAAAUUCUCAAUUUAAUUUUCGAAAACAGAUUUCUAAAAUCAAAAUCAAUUAACCCAUAAUUAAUUAAAACAUAAUAUCAAUUAUAAAUCGAGCCCCGAGCUCUGAGCUCUGAUACCAAUAUUAGAAAUUCUUGAGAUCAUCUAAUGAUACGCCGCGGAAAUACAAUUAAAGAUAAGAUCUAAAUUUAUAAUUAUAUUCAUGUGUAGAGAUAAAACACACAACAAUUAGAAUAACUUACUUGUUGUGUGGUAGAACGAUUGUGACGUUUCCUCCAGUUGAAUCCACUACUAGAGGUAUCCUUGUGACGUUUCCUCGAAGCAGGAACAAUUCCAAGUGCAAGUUUCAAUAACAGAAAGCUAGGAAAUCCUGAUUGAAUAGUAUAGUGCUCACCGUGUUUUCUCUCUUUGUGUUUUCAUGUGUUUAACAAAAGAAAUAUAUUCCUAUUCUUAUAGGAAUAAUAACAGCCUCCUAACCCUAGGUUAAUAGGUCGGGCUUUUCUUUUAUCUACAAUUAAUUAGUCCAAUAGUUCAACUAAUAACUAAUCUAGUCCAUUAAAAUAUAUUUCACAAUAUAGGUUUUCUAAGAUCACAGUUCAACAUUUGUGUAUAUAUGAAAAAAACGGAUGGAGUUUCAGUGACAGAACGAAGUAAAUCUUUUGUCUUCAAUUAUUUUUUCUCAAUUUAUUCUUGUCUAUCGUCAUUAAAGUUGCAGCCGUUGUUCUUCGUUGAAAACUAACAAAUUCAACGCUUGCUCUGCAGCAAUCACCAUAAAUUCAAUGCCAUAUAAAUAUCGGGGAUAAUGUACUCAUUGGGUGAAUAUUGAUAAAUAUAGGUGAAAUAAAGUCAUAUAAUAACAUAUUUAAGGGCAGAAACCAUGAAAAUUUAUUCUACCAACAUUAAUUUAGUUGUCUAUUGAUUUUAAGUAUUUAAUGGAAUACGACAAUCAAUUGUAAGUAAAGUUUUUUUNUUUUCUUUUUAGUCUGCUAACCUAUUAAUUGUCAACAUUUCCUCGCCUACAGUAUAGUUUGUUUACUAUUUAUCAUACGAUGCAAACUUCAAUCUAUCCUCAUUACUUUGCUGCAACAAUUAAAUAUUACUUUGAAAUUCUCUCAGAGGUCGACAUGAGCUCAUCGAUCUUUAUCUUCUUAAGAAGAAGAAAAAAUGAUUUAAAUCAAAAUAUAUAAUUAACUUGAAUCUGCAAUAAAUAGUUCAAUAGAAACUGUCCAAUUCUGAUAAGCCUAAUCACUAUUGAAGAAACAAAAACUCCAAAGGCAAAGAGAGACAUGUAAGGUUGUAAUUAUUCAGAGUCUCUAUCCAUCGCAAUACACUGAGGAAUAGUAGACAUAAUUAAUUUUUCUUUGUUAUUUCACAAAUUAACAAGAAUGGGAAAAAAAGAAGAUAAAACCCCAAUAAUGCAGCAGAACCAUCACAGGCAACAAAAUAAAGACAAACAAAUAUACUUUUCAUGAUUCUAAACCAUGUAUUAACUGGAUAACUUUAAUUUCUUGAAAAAAAAAGAGAGAGAGAGAGAGAGAGAANAAUUUGAUCUUAGCCUAUAAUUCCACAAAGGGAUGUAUUGUUCCGAGUGGUGCAUGUGUGGUAACUAAACGAUGACCUAAUUUAAGUGGAGAAGAGUAAAGCAAAAAUAUUAACCUCAAUUUCGAAACCCCCACGCAACGUGCGGCCGCCUGGCCGCCACGUGUCACGUAGGCAAUCUUGAUUGUGUGGCCAAUUGGGACUGAUAGGCCAAUCCAAUGUGGUAUGAAAUUUGUGCAUUCUCUUCAAACUCCCCCUACUAUAAUAACUCACUCCUAUCUUAAGUAUAGCACAGCCACUGAAUUGAAUCACCACCACCACCCUCUCCAACUUCAUCACACAAUGGCCGCCGCCGUGUCGACCAUCGGAGCCGUCAACCGCGUACCGGUACAGUACUAUCGUAUCUAGCUACUUCAUAUAUAGUAUAAGUGUUGAUGAAAAUUAAGAGAAUGUAAUAAUGUAUGGUAUGGUUGCAGUUGAACUUGAAUGGAUCGAGCGGAGGAGGCGCAGUGCCGACUUCGUCAUUCCUGGGAACGAGUCUGAAGAAGGGCGCGGGCAGCGUGAAAGGCGUCAAGGGCGGGAGCUUGAAAGUGGUGGCGCAGGAGCAGGAGGUGUCGGAGAAGAAGCAGACGAAAGAAGACAGGUGGAAGGGGCUGGGCGAGGACAUCUCGGACGACCAGCAGGACAUCACGAGGGGGAAGGGCAUGGUGGACCCCCUGUUCCAAGCCCCCACCGGGAUGGGGACCCACGACGCCGUCCUCAGCUCCUACGAGUACCUCAGCCAAGGCCUCCGCGAGUACAACCUCGACAACAAGCUCGACGGCUUCUACAUCGCCCCCGCCUUCAUGGACAAGCUCGUCGUCCACCUCUCCAAGAACUUCAUGACCCUCCCCAACAUCAAGGUUGCUCACCCACCUCAUCACAUGCUUUCUUCUUAUUCUAUUAAUAACAUCUUGGCACCUGCAGAUUCCGUUGAUUCUGGGUAUAUGGGGAGGCAAGGGGCAGGGGAAAUCCUUCCAGUGCGAGCUGGUGUUCCGGAAGAUGGGGAUCAACCCGAUCAUGAUGAGCGCCGGUGAGCUGGAGAGCGGGAACGCGGGAGAGCCGGCGAAGCUGAUCAGGCAGCGCUACAGGGAGGCGGCCGACAUCAUCAAGAAGGGGAAGAUGUGCUGCCUCUUCAUCAACGACCUCGACGCCGGGGCCGGCCGGAUGGGCGGCACCACCCAGUACACGGUCAACAACCAGAUGGUGAACGCCACGCUCAUGAACAUCGCCGACAACCCCACCAACGUGCAGCUUCCCGGGAUGUACAACAAGCAGGAGAACCCCCGCGUGCCCAUCAUCGUCACCGGAAACGACUUCUCCACCCUCUACGCGCCGCUCAUCCGUGACGGUCGUAUGGAGAAGUUCUACUGGGCACCCACCCGCGACGACCGUGUCGGUGUGUGCAAGGGUAUCUUCCGUACCGACGGCGUCUCCGACGAGUGCGUCACCAAACUCGUCGACACCUUCCCCGGCCAGUCCAUCGGUACUACCCUAUAUUCAUUCAUUCUCUAUAUACAUAUAUCUCUUCACUUCAAUAUUUACAUCACAAUAAUCAUUUUCAUAUUGCAAAUCUACAAAAUACCUACUUUUUGACUUAUUAUACUGUUUUGACUUUACUUGACCAAUUUAAGACUAAAUUCAUAACUAAACCUAAUUUUAGUUGCGAAUUGCCCGCCCUAGCUAUUUCAAGAGCAAUUCAAAACUCUACAUACUCUUAAUUAUGAAUUAAGGGAUAAAACAGUAGAAAUGGCUGUUUUUAUCAUUUUUAUAUUCGUGGCUAGUUAUUUUACUAUCUUGAAAUGAUAAGUCCACUCUUUAUCAACGUAUCUAUUUUGUUGUUGUAAAGAUAAAAGGAAUAAAAGAAAAUAGUAAUUUUUUAGUUCAACGUAUUGUUUUGGUCUUAAUUAGCAUGAGGCUAGCUUUAGAUUAUACUAGGAAGCUUCGUAGUUGUAAAUUAUAAGCAAAGAGUAAUUCAUUUUUUUGAGGUGCAGUAAAAUAACGUUAUUCUGUUUACUUUCAGAUUUCUUCGGUGCUCUUCGGGCGCGAGUGUAUGACGAUCUAGUGAGAGAGUGGGUGAGCGGAAUUGGGGUGGAGAACAUCGGACGUAAGCUGGUGAACUCUCGGGACGGGCCGCCGGUGUUCGAGCAGCCGAAGAUGACGCUGGAGAAGCUGCUGAGCUACGGUAACAUGCUGGUCGCAGAGCAAGACAAUGUCAAGAGAGUGCAGCUGGCUGACAAAUAUUUGAAGGAUGCUGCUCUCGGCGAUGCUAACAAGGAUGCCAUUGACACCGGAAAGUUCUAGAAUAGCUCUCAACCCAUUAUCACGUUCCCGCCUACCUGCUGAUGUUUAUACAAAUUCUGUUUUUUCCCUAUCUUCUUCUCCUUUUCUUUUUCUUGUUUUUCUCCCUUCAAUUUGUGUA
Molecule: long non-coding RNA, 8230 nt
Filed under: Salvia miltiorrhiza (redroot sage)
Lineage: Eukaryota; Viridiplantae; Streptophyta; Magnoliopsida; Lamiales; Lamiaceae
Description: long non-coding RNA (SMIL_LNC007313)
Source: RNAcentral